Molecule: ribosomal RNA, 430 nt
Filed under: uncultured Pseudomonadota bacterium
Lineage: Bacteria; Pseudomonadati; Pseudomonadota
Description: bacterial SSU rRNA
Rfam family: Bacterial small subunit ribosomal RNA
Source: RNAcentral
UGAGAUGUUGGGUUAAGUCCCGCAACGAGCGCAACCCUCGCCCUUAGUUGCCAUCAUUUAGUUGGGCACUCUAAGGGGACUGCCGGUGAUAAGCCGCGAGGAAGGUGGGGAUGACGUCAAGUCCUCAUGGCCCUUACGGGCUGGGCUACACACGUGCUACAAUGGCGGUGACAGUGGGAUGCAAUGGAGUAAUCCUGCGCAAAUCUCAAAAAGCCGUCUCAGUUCGGAUUGUGCUCUGCAACUCGAGCACAUGAAGUUGGAAUCGCUAGUAAUCGCAGAUCAGCACGCUGCGGUGAAUACGUUCCCGGGCCUUGUACACACCGCCCGUCACACCAUGGGAGUUGGGUCUACCUUAAGACGGUGCGCCAACCGCAAGGGGGCAGCCGGCCACGGUAGGCUCAGCGACUGGGGUGAAGUCGUAACAAGGUAA